CCUACGGGAGGCAGCAGUAGGGAAUAUUGCUCAAUGGGGGAAACCCUGAAGCAGCAACGCCGCGUGGAUGAUGAAGGGUUUCGGAGCGUAAACUCCUGUUGUUAGAGAAGAAAAUGACUUUAUCUAACGAAUAAGCACCGGCUAACUCCGUGCCAGCAGCCGCGGUAAUACGGAGGGGGCAAGUGUUACGCGGAAGCACUGGGCGUAAAGAGCGCGUAGGCGGGAUAGCAAGUCAGAUGUGAAAUCCCAUGGUUUAACCAUAGAACUGCAUUGGAAACUGUUAUUCUAGAGUACGGGAGAGGUAGGUGGAAUUCUUGGUGUAGGGGUGAAAUCCGUAGAGAUCAAGAGGAAUACUCAUUGCGAAGGCGACCUGCUAGACCAUAACUGACGCUGAUGCGCGAAAGCGUGGGGAGCAAACAGGAUUAGAUACCCGUGUAGUC
RNAcentral lists this ribosomal RNA (440 nucleotides) under uncultured bacterium. RNAcentral's name for it is "partial 16S ribosomal RNA". It matches the Rfam family "Bacterial small subunit ribosomal RNA", at positions 338 to 795 of the family's 1533-position model. The record is from RNAcentral.